CCCCUAGAUGUUCUGGGCCGCACGCGCGCUACACUGAACAGUUCAACAAGUCUUAACCUUGGCCGAGAGGUCCGGGUAAUCUUUGAAACUGCAUCGUGAUGGGGCUAGAUUAUUGCAAUUAUUAAUCUUCAACGAGGAAUGCCUAGUAAGCGUGAUUCAUCAAAUCGCGUUGAUUACGUCCCUGCCCUUUGUACACACCGCCCGUCGCUCCUACCGAUUGAAUGUGUUGGUGAGGAGCUCGGAUUGGCAGCAGUUGGUGGUUCGCCACCGGCUAUUGCUGAGAAGUCCUCCAAACCGCCCCAUUUAGAGGAAGGAGAAGUCGUAACA
This 327-nucleotide ribosomal RNA is filed under the name uncultured eukaryote. Its description in RNAcentral is "partial 18S ribosomal RNA". It matches the Rfam family "Eukaryotic small subunit ribosomal RNA", at positions 1470 to 1796 of the family's 1831-position model. The record is from RNAcentral.